RNAcentral lists this long non-coding RNA (390 nucleotides) under Vigna radiata. RNAcentral's name for it is "long non-coding RNA (VRAD_LNC017576)". Lineage: Eukaryota; Viridiplantae; Streptophyta; Magnoliopsida; Fabales; Fabaceae. The record is from RNAcentral.
AUACAUAAGAAAUGUGUUUUGUGAACAAAAACAACUUAGUGCAUGUUUUAGAAGAAGUUAUGCAGAAACUGCUGUGGUAAUCGUUUACCACAGUGUCGUAAACGAUUACCAGAGCUGUUUUCGUGAUUUGGACACAAAGUUGUUCACAGAGAACCCAUAUUUUGUUCACAGGGGACCACAAUAUUAGUUGCUGUUUUUUCUGAAGUUUUGGACCUGUUUUGGUGUCAUGUAGUGGUUGGGAGGUGUUGUAAGUGUGCUUGUUCAUGUUUGGGUAGGCAAGGAAGGUAUGAUGUUGAGUGCAAGCCCCCAAAUCAUGUCCUAGAAGAAUUUAUGCAGAAACAGCUGUGGUAAUCGUUUACCACAGUGUCGUAAACGAUUACCAGAGCUGUU